GACGAACGCUGGCGGCGUGCUUAACACAUGCAAGUCGAACGGAAAGGCCCUGCUUUUGUGGGGUGCUCGAGUGGCGAACGGGUGAGUAACACGUGAGUAACCUGCCCUUGACUUUGGGAUAACUUCAGGAAACUGGGGCUAAUACCGGAUAGGAGCUCCUGCUGCAUGGUGGGGGUUGGAAAGUUUCGGCGGUUGGGGAUGGACUCGCGGCUUAUCAGCUUGUUGGUGGGGUAGUGGCUUACCAAGGCUUUGACAGGUAGCCGGCCUGAGAGGGUGACCGGCCACAUUGGGACUGAGAUACGGCCCAGACUCCUACGGGAGGCAGCAGUGGGGAAUAUUGCACAAUGGGCGGAAGCCUGAUGCAGCAACGCCGCGUGCGGGAUGACGGCCUUCGGGUUGUAAACCGCUUUCGCCUGUGACGAAGCGUGAGUGACGGUAAUGGGGAAAGAAGCACCGGCGAACUACGU
Molecule: ribosomal RNA, 467 nt
Filed under: uncultured bacterium
Lineage: Bacteria
Description: partial 16S ribosomal RNA
Rfam family: Bacterial small subunit ribosomal RNA
Source: RNAcentral